GAAGCAACAAGCGUCAACUACAGAGCGAUAACGAGGAAGAAUCUACACUUCCUACGAAGUAAGUGAAGAUUUGAGUUUCAAUCUAUUGUUUAAAAUUAUCUAUGAAUUAUUGUACUGAAUCAUCAUUUUUUUAAUCUCCUUUCUUUGGUCCUUUAUAAUAAUAGUAUAUCCUUUGUAAAAGAAGUGUAAAGACAUCGACGGCAAAGAGGUAGCGUAAGCAAAGUUGGCGGAGGCAAAUAAGGAGCGUGGAAUAAAGAAAGAGUCGAGUCCACAUGGGCGGCCAUAGCGUUUGUGUCCCACCUUUGUCCCCUUGCCUCUUUCUUGCCUUUCAUGCUCCCGACAACAUCUCUCUCUCUUCCUUUAACCCUAACUUCUAUGCAUCUUCUCCCUCCUGUAUAUAUCUCUCUUUCUCUAAACCCAUCAUCAACCAAACUCACAAACAAGAACAAGAAGAACAAGGAUUCUGCUUUGGAUAUAUUACACAGAGACAUAUAGAGAGAGAGGUGUCUUGAUCUUGAAAAAAAAUGGCUUACGAGAAAGUCAAUGAGCUUAACCUUAAGGACACAGAGCUUCGUCUUGGAUUACCCGGAACGGAGCAAGAUAAGGAAGAACAAGAGGUUUCUUGCGUUAGAAGCAACAAGCGUCAACUACAGAGCGAUAACGAGGAAGAAUCUACACUUCCUACGAAGUAAGUGAAGAUUUGAGUUUCAAUCUAUUGUUUAAAAUUAUCUAUGAAUUAUUGUACUGAUGAUGAUUCUUUGCUAAUUUACAGAACUCAAAUCGUUGGUUGGCCUCCGGUGAGAUCUUACCGUAAAAACAACAACAGUGUGAGCUAUGUGAAAGUGAGUAUGGAUGGAGCUCCAUACCUUAGGAAAAUAGAUCUCAAGACAUACAAAAACUAUCCAGAGCUUCUCAAGGCAUUAGAGAACCUGUUCAAGUUCACGAUCGGUGAAUACAGCGAAAGAGAAGGAUACAAAGGAUCUGGAGUUGUACCAACGUACGAGGAUAAAGAUGGAGAUUGGAUGUUGGUUGGUGAUGUUCCAUGGGAUAUGUUCUCUUCCUCUUGUAAGAGACUCAGGAUCAUGAAAGGAUCUGAUGCUCUUGCUUUGGACUCGGCCUUAUGAUGAUGAUGAUGAUGAUGAUGAAAGCUUUUGAUGGAUGAAACCCUUUUUGAUUUGAUUCUGAUCGGAGUUUGAGUAGUUGACCACACCAAAAACAGAACAUGUCAGGGUUUUGUUCGAUGAGAUAGAUCCAUCUUCAAGGGGUUUUCUUUUUGUUUUGUUUGAUCCUUGUUUUUAGAUUUGCAGCUUGUUGUAAAGAUAGAUGAAAUUUUUGUACAAUACGGACAUAUACACAAUAUAGAUGCGUAUGUAGCAAUGUUUUGACGAAAAGAGUCUUUAAUUUCAUAGUGAUAUCUACAAUAAUUUACAAUAAAGAACCUCAUAGUAUUCUUUAGGAGAGGGCAAAAUAAGGGUUUGGAUUCGAUCAGGAAAUUUUGGAUAUUUGUAACUCCAACAAAAAAAAAUACUUACAUUUAAUUAUAGUUAAAAACUGAAAAAAUUAUAAUUACUAAAAUUUUAGAAGAUAUAUGUGUUUAUUAUAUUUAUAUGAAAGUUUGAUAUAUUUUCGCUAAAUUAUUUAUUUAUUUAUUUAUUAAAAAGUAAAAUUAAAUUACAUUUUAUUUCGUAAUGAACAUUAUUAUAAUAUGUCAAAUUUCGAAUUUUUUAAUAAAAAAUAUUUUUACAUUUAAAAAAGAUUAAUCAAGAAACAGGCCUGAUAAGAGUUUCCAAAGCCCAAUUGACUUGAGUCCAUUGAUUUUGGUUAUGUGCUAUGACGGGGCGAAUCUAGCCCAUUUAAAUUAUGGGUGCACUAUUGAUAGAAAAACAUAAAAAUACAUUAGACAAGGAUCGAACCUAAGAAACUGAGGGUGCACAUACUUCUUUUUACCAUAUAAGCUAACCAAAUUUUGAUGUUUCUACGUGUAAAAUACUAAAUUUUAAAAUAAUUGUGGGUGCACAUGUCCCCUCAUCCUUUAACUUGGCUUCGCCAGGUGUUUCCACCUUCGAUGAUCAGAUAAGUGGAGAAGGUGAAAUCUACAUAAAGCUUGAAUGAAUUGGUACAUUUGAUAUAGCAACGAAAUUAUACAUAGUAUUAAUUUAAUUUAUUUUACUUCGUAAGUCAAGCUAGGCAAGAUUGUUUUGCGUGAAAUUUCGACAGGAAGACACUUGUUUCCAGUUAAUUGGGAAAUAAUUAAUAACUAGAAUAAGACAUGCGCUAGUGCGCAUAAUGAUUUUGUUUGUAUAUAUUAUCGAUAAUUCUUUUUAUAUAUUUGUUUAUUUUGUUAAUGCAUAUACAAUAUUUUUUGCUAAUAUUAUAUAAUUUCUUUCUGAUAGAUCGGAUUAAUUUUUAUUAAAAGUUGUGGAACUAAAUUAUAAUUAAUAUAUCAUAGGUUGAUUGGAUUUAAACAAAUUGUGACACAAAAACCUUAUUUUUUUCACCGGACACAUUAUUGAAAAAAAUGAAUAGUAAUGUUUCCACAGUUGAAUUGUUUUGACAUUGAUCUUCCAUAUGGUUUUGACAUGUUUCAGAUCAACAAUCAAAUUAAUACAUGUCAUUUUAAUGAUUUUAGUCGUAUGGUUAAGUAAAACUUACAUUUUUGUAAUUUAAAUUUGUUUUAAAAAAAUUCAGAAUAUAACAUAUAAGAAAAAAUCUAACAUAUAAGAAAAAAUCUAACAUAUAAGAAAAAUAUAACAUAUAAGAUUUCCUCAUUUUUGUAAAUUAAAGUCGUUUUAAACAAAAAUUAAAUUAUAACAUAUAAGGUUUCCUCAUUUUUGUAAUUUAAAGUCAUUUUAAAAAUUUUAAAAUAUAACAUAUAAGUAAAAAAACUAGUUUUUUAAUUAUAUGGUUAAUGUGAUUAUUUUAAUUUUUUUAAUAAUAUAAAAUUUAAAAAAAAAUGAAGAAUGAUGCAAAAAUUGUUAUAAAUUUUUUAUUAUUCAUAGUCAUUAACUGUCAUAUAUAUGUUAAUACUAUUAGGUAAUUUCGUAGUUUUUAUUUAAAGAAAUAAUACAUGUUUCUUAUAUUUUGAGUUAAUAUAAUGUUUCUUAAUAACUGGAUUUGAACCAACAUUUUUUCAAUUAAUUCUUAAGCUGUCAUGUAAACUAAAUUGUCAUCCUAAUUAAGUGAUACCUAAACAGUGUCUCUUUUUAAUUAGUACAAACUUAAUGUUAUAAUUUUUUUAAUAGUCCUCAAUUAAUAUAUAGGGAUUCAUAUAAUCAUAUUUAACAUGUUUAAUGAGGGGUCGUACAUAUUUAUAAUAUAUUUUUUUUUUUAUUGCUAUCUUAGCUUAACUGGUCAUGCAUGUUUCGUAUGUUUUUGAUACUGCUAGUACAUUCAAGUCUAGUUUUGUAUAAUCUAAGUCUGUAAUCUAAUUUUCAACAGUGGUGAUAUAUAUAUUAAUGGGAAAAUUAGGGCACGAAUAAUUAAGAAUUGCAAUUCUAUACUAAGAAAAAUGAGUUGAAAACAUGUUUUGAAAGUUUAAUCCUGCGAGUUAAAACAUUUUGAGGCACCUUUUUCUUAAUAUUUGCAAAUCUAAUGUCUUAACUUUUUAUCAUAUUCAUUACUGCAUUUUGCCGCGUGCCAAUUAACAUAAGUGCACGCUACUACAAUCGAAUGGUAUAUCGAUGCAGUAUUGUAUGAUUGAAUCCAUAAAAAACUAGUGGUAUAUAACAAUAAGAAUACACAAACUUUUCUAAUCUAAGCAAAUAAGAAGAUGGAUGAUUUGUAACAAUCUAAGUAAUGACAGUAGUGAUCAUGGGCCUUUGGAGAAAGUGAAAGAGCAGUCUCAAGCCCACACGGUCACCACCAAAGUUCAGCCUAAUCCUCCUCUGUCGUCUAGUGUCAAACAGAAAGCAUUCAAGGUUCAAUCUUCUUGCUCCAGUACGACGAGGCCAGCUAAUGGCAUAACGGUUGGAAAUAGAUUUGAGUGUCUUGGUACACAGCCUGUCAUGUGCUGAGUCAGAGUAGAGGAUAAGAUCUUAUGUCUCUAUAUAAUGUAAAACGUGAACAUGUAAUCAGCAAGCAAGAAAGUAAUAAAAGUUAAAACGUUCUUCUUCACAAAACUCUAAGUUUUUUCAUGGUAUCAGAGCCAUGGAGGACUCUGACGCUAUUUCUACGCCAUCACUGAGUAUCUCUCAGUGUGUGACGUUAAAACUCACAUCUUCCAACUACUUGCUUUGGAAGACACAGUUCGAAUCCUUUCUUUACAGUCAAUCCUUGCUCGGUUUUCUCAAUGGAGGUUCUCUUCGCCCUGCUCCAACGGUAACGGUUCAAGAAGGAGAUGGAGUCACAGAGCAGCCUAAUCCUGAGUUUCAGAAGUGGAUGCGCAAAGACCAGCUUGUCAUGGCUUGGUUGUUCGGUUCUCUGUCUGAGGAUGCUCUCAGAUCUGUCUACGGUCUCACGUCAGCUCAGGAGGUCUGGUUCUGCCUUGGAAAGAAGUACAAUCGUGUCUCAGCUACAAGAAAACUAGAUCUCCAACGUAAGCUUCAAGGUAUGACUAAAAGCCAAAGAACCAUGACAGAGUAUCUAGGAGAGAUUAAGAGUAUCUGUGACCAGUUAGACUCUAUAGGGUGUAGCAUGACUGAGCAUGAGAUGAUAUAUGGUGCGUUGAGCGGUUUAGGGAAAGAGUAUGAAUCCAUAUGUACGGUUAUUGAGCAUUCUAUGGAUUCGGUUACUGAGAUGACGUUUGAAGAUGCUGUGUUCAAGCUCACUACCUUUGAUGAUAAGCUUCAGGUCUAUAACCAAAGUGCCACAGUUAAUCCUCAUCUUGCCUUUCAUGUUGGAAGGGGUUACUCUAACAACAGAGGCAGAGGAGGUUACACUAACAGAGGGGAUUAUAGAGGUGGUCGAAGCAACAACAACUACUCCACAAGGGGACGUGGCUUUCAACAGCAGUUCUCAAGUGGUAAUGGUCGUGACAAUGUUAGCUCAGGGUCCGGUUCCAACAACAGACCUACCUGCCAAAUCUGUGGGCGGUAUGGUCAUUCAGCUGCGAGAUGCUACAAUCGCUAUGAUCAAGAGUCUCAGUCUUCAGAUAACCUACCCAAUGCGCUCACCACAAUGAGACUUUCUGAUCAAGAACACAGUACCGGUCAAGAAUGGUAUCCAGAUUCUGCUGCGUCUGCCCACAUUACAAGCAACCAGUCUCAGUUAACGUCAGCAGAACCCUAUCUUGGGAAUGAUCAAGUGAUCGUUGGGAAUGGAGAUUACCUGCCAAUCACGCAUGUUGGAUCUGUCGCCUUACACACACAACAAGGUACUCUUCCUCUUGAUGAUGUGUUAGUCUGUCCUGGAAUAACAAAGUCUUUGAUAUCGGUUUCAAAACUCACUUCAGACUAUCCAUGUGAAGUUACAUUUGAUUCUGAAACUGUUUUUGUUAAGGACAAGCAAACAAAACAGGUGAUAACUCAAGGCAGAAGGGAUAAGGAUCUGUAUAUGUUGAAGGAUGCAAGAUAUCAAGCUUUUUAUUCUACAAGACAGAGAGCUACAAGUGUGGAGAUUUGGCAUCAAAGGCUAGGCCAUCCUCACAAGGACAUCCUUCAGCAGUUAGCCAGGAGUAACGCUAUCAGUUUGAAUAAAGGGGGGACAUUGGAGCUCUGUGAAGCGUGUCAGAUUGGCAAGAGUUGCAGGCUUCCUUUUCUUCUUUCAGAAACUUUUUCUAAUAGACCUUUAGAGAAGAUACAUUGUGACUUAUGGGGACCUAGUCCAGUUGUUUCUGCUCAAGGAUUUGGAUUACCCGGAAUAGAGCAAGAUAAGGAAGAACAAGAGGUUUCUUGCGUUAGAAGCAACAAGCGUCAACUACAAAGCGAUAACGAGGAAGAAUCUACACUUCCUACGAAGUAAGUAAAGAUUUGAGUUUCAAUCUAUUGUUUCAAAUUAUCUAUGAAUUGUUGUACUAAUGAUGAUUCUUUGCUAAUUUACAGAACUCAAAUCGUUGGUUGGCCUCCGGUGAGAUCUUACCGUAAAAACAACAACAGUGUGAGCUAUGUGAAAGUGAGUAUGGAUGGAGCUCCAUACCUUAGGAAAAUAGAUCUCAAGACAUACAAAAACUAUCCAGAGCUUCUCAAGGCAUUAGAGAACCUGUUCAAGUUCACGAUCGGUGAAUACAGCGAAAGAGAAGGAUACAAAGGAUCUGGAGUUGUACCAACGUACGAGGAUAAAGAUGGAGAUUGGAUGUUGGUUGGUGAUGUUCCAUGGGAUAUGUUCUCUUCCUCUUGUAAGAGACUCAGGAUCAUGAAAGGAUCUGAUGCUCUUGCUUUGGACUCGGCCUUAUGAUGAUGAUGAUGAUGAUGAUGAAAGCUUUUGAUGGAUGAAACCCUUUUUGAUUUGAUUCUGAUCGGAGUUUGAGUAGUUGACCACACCAAAAACAGAACAUGUCAGGGUUUUGUUCGAUGAGAUAGAUCCAUCUUCAAGGGGUUUUCUUUUUGUUUUGUUUGAUCCUUGUUUUUAGAUUUGCA
This 6512-nucleotide long non-coding RNA is filed under the name Brassica napus (rape). RNAcentral describes it as "long non-coding RNA (BNAP_LNC000689)". The record is from RNAcentral. Lineage: Eukaryota; Viridiplantae; Streptophyta; Magnoliopsida; Brassicales; Brassicaceae.